AUGAAAACUAUCCAUUUUAUUUAAGAAUUGAAUGCUCUUUUUUGUAAAUUUAUUGGGGUGUAAAAGCGUUGACCGAAAGUACAUUUUGUAUGAAGCGCGGAAGCGCUUCAUACUUAAAAUGUGCGCACGGUCAACGCUUUUACAACCCUAUAAAGUUACAAAAAAAAAGCAUUCAAUACUUAUAAUUACAUUUUUACCUAUAGGAUCACGAAAACACGCCUUUUAUCAAGUUUUUAUUUUAUUUACCUGUGCACUUUAUUGUGGGACCUCGUGUCAUCAUGAAUGAGAAGUUUUAUUGAGUGAUACAACUGCUUAAGGAAUAACACAUGAUGUGCAGUUAGCCAAUCAGAAUAACGUAUUGUAAUGAAACAUACAUCUAAUGUAAUUAUUAUAAAUAUGCUUAUUUUUUUUUUUAAUUUGAGGUUUUAUAUGACUUAUGGUUUAAUGUCAAAUUGUAUUUCUCAAUAAAAUUCAAUAUACAUGGCAGCACGUGCUUCUCACGACAAAUUCACAACAAUGCAUAGGUUUAUCAACAAACAAAUAAUUAAUUGCUACAACCAAGGAUUUGUAUAGUACUAUACAAAUCCUUGCUACAACUCGUACUAUGAUAACAAACCAA
RNAcentral lists this long non-coding RNA (619 nucleotides) under Mytilus galloprovincialis (Mediterranean mussel). The record is from RNAcentral. Lineage: Eukaryota; Metazoa; Mollusca; Bivalvia; Mytilida; Mytilidae.